Molecule: ribosomal RNA, 269 nt
Filed under: uncultured prokaryote
Description: partial 16S ribosomal RNA
Rfam family: Bacterial small subunit ribosomal RNA
Source: RNAcentral
UACGUAGGUGGCAAGCGUUAUCCGGAAUUACUGGGCGUAAAGAGCGCGCAGGUGGUUGAUUAAGUCUGAUGUGAAAGCCCACGGCUUAACCGUGGAGGGUCAUUGGAAACUGGUCGACUUGAGUGCAGAAGAGGGAAGUGGAAUUCCAUGUGUAGCGGUGAAAUGCGUAGAGAUAUGGAGGAACACCAGUGGCGAAGGCGGCUUCCUGGUCUGUAACUGACACUGAGGCGCGAAAGCGUGGGGAGCAAACAGGAUUAGAUACCCCCGUA